Molecule: long non-coding RNA, 434 nt
Organism: Dromiciops gliroides (monito del monte)
Lineage: Eukaryota; Metazoa; Chordata; Mammalia; Microbiotheria; Microbiotheriidae
Exons: 4
Source: RefSeq, a predicted model, not a curated record
ACAUCUCCAGCUUUGCUGUUUACCCUCCUGCCCCUUAACUUCCCUGGGCAGCAGCUGGGACUGAGAAGCCAGGUGUAAGUCCGAAAAAGAAAGAAAGAGAAAAGCCAGUCCUCAUUUCCACCUAAGAGCCCAACAAAAGAAGAAAUUAUGAAGGAAACAUGGAAACAUAAUGAUACCAAGUGAAGCCAACAGACACAGAAGCACCCCAUGCCCAUUGACAACACAGCGGAAACAUUGAGAAAAGAAGAAGAAUCCAAAGGGUGACCAUGAGAAUGAGCAAGGGGCUUUCUCUGAAAAUAUACUGACCCCUCCAUCUAUUCUCUCCAAAGAAAAACAAGAGGUGGAGAAGGAAAGGGGAGGAAGAAGAGGAGGAGGAGGAAGAAAAGGAGAAGGAGGAAGAGGAGGAGGAGAAGGAAGAAGAGGAGAAGGAAGAA